GUGUCUGUAGCCUAGCAGUAAAAGGCAGAACCUAGUAUGUGUCUCAGCUAUCCACUGAGGUUGUGGGUUUGAAUCCCACCAGACACA
RNAcentral lists this transfer RNA (87 nucleotides) under Endocronartium harknessii PhW48OC. RNAcentral describes it as "tRNA-Asp (ATC) (tRNA-Asp-ATC-3-1, tRNA-Asp-ATC-3-2)". It matches the Rfam family "tRNA". Rfam says of the family: Transfer RNA (tRNA) molecules are approximately 80 nucleotides in length. Lineage: Eukaryota; Fungi; Basidiomycota; Pucciniomycetes; Pucciniales; Coleosporiaceae. The record is from RNAcentral.